Molecule: ribosomal RNA, 485 nt
Filed under: uncultured bacterium
Lineage: Bacteria
Description: bacterial SSU rRNA
Rfam family: Bacterial small subunit ribosomal RNA
Source: RNAcentral
GAUGAACGUUAGCGGGAGGCUUAAUACAUGCAAGUCGAGCGGUAAGUUUUUAUAGCAAUAUGAAGACCUAGAGCGGCGCACGGGUGAGUAACGCGUACACGACCUGGCCUAAACUGGGGGAUAGCCUUGGGAAACUGAGAGUAAUCCCGCAUGUGAUUAUGUUACUGAUGGUGAUAUAAUUAAAGCUUCGGCGGUUUAGGAUGGGUGUGCGUCUGAUUAGCUAGUUGGUAGUGUAACGGACUACCAAGGCGAUGAUCAGUAGGGGGCGUGAGAGCGUGACCCCCCCACACGGGUACUGAGACACGGACCCGACUCCUACGGGAGGCAGCAGUAAGGAAUAUUGGUCAAUGCCCGGAAGGGUGAACCAGCCAUCCCGCGUGAAGGAUGAAGGGGCUCUGCCUUGUAAACUUCUUUUGUAUGGGGCGAAAAAAGGGGUUUAUCCUCGACUGACGGUACCAUAAGAAUAAGCACCGGCUAACUCCGUG